This 374-nucleotide ribosomal RNA is filed under the name uncultured organism. RNAcentral's name for it is "partial 16S ribosomal RNA". It matches the Rfam family "Bacterial small subunit ribosomal RNA", at positions 527 to 896 of the family's 1533-position model. The record is from RNAcentral.
GUAGGUGGCAAGCGUUGUCCGGAAUUAUUGGGCGUAAAGCGCGCGCAGGCGGUCCUUUAAGUCUGAUGUGAAAGCCCACGGCUCAACCGUGGAGGGUCAUUGGAAACUGGGGGACCUGAGUACAGAAGAGGAAAGCGGAAUUCCAAGUGUAGCGGUGAAAUGCGUAGAGAUUUGGAGGAACACCAGUGGCGAAGGCGGCUUUCUGGUCUGUAACUGACGCUGAGGCGCGAAGGCGUGGGGAGCAAACAGGAUUAGAUACCCUGGUAGUCCACGCCGUAAACGAUGAGUGCUAAGUGUUAGGGGGUUUCCCGCCCCCCUUAGUGCUGCAGCUAACGCAUUAAGCACUCCGCCUGGGGAGUACGGCCGCAAGGCUG